CAGUGUACCCGCGGCAAGACGGAAAGACCCCGUGAACCUUUACUAUAGCUUGACACUGAACAUUGAGCCUUGAUGUGUAGGAUAGGUGGGAGGCUUUGAAGUGUGGACGCCAGUCUGCAUGGAGCCGGCCUUGAAAUACCACCCUUUAAUGUUUGAUGUUCUAACGUUGACCCGUAAUCCGGGUUGCGGACAGUGUCUGGUGGGUAGUUUGACUGGGGCGGUCU
RNAcentral lists this ribosomal RNA (224 nucleotides) under Escherichia coli. RNAcentral describes it as "partial 23S ribosomal RNA". It matches the Rfam family "Bacterial large subunit ribosomal RNA", at positions 2062 to 2285 of the family's 2925-position model. Lineage: Bacteria; Pseudomonadati; Pseudomonadota; Gammaproteobacteria; Enterobacterales; Enterobacteriaceae. The record is from RNAcentral.